Molecule: long non-coding RNA, 394 nt
Filed under: Ictidomys tridecemlineatus (thirteen-lined ground squirrel)
Lineage: Eukaryota; Metazoa; Chordata; Mammalia; Rodentia; Sciuridae
Description: lncRNA (ENSSTOG00000031107.1)
Source: RNAcentral
AUGGCCUCAGCCCCUGGACUCACUGCUUCGCAACCCAUCUGCCCUUGGACCAAUUACCUGGCUUUGAAUAUGAUGCAGGGGCAGACACCUGCUGAUAUAGCAACUGUCAUUGCCCCAAAUUCCCAUGAUAUGGGAGUUUCAGGGCAGCCUGCCUGGAGGAAGACACACAGAUUCUGCCUAAAACAGUACCAUCCUGACUCAGCAGUUGUUCACCACCAGGCAACCAGCGUUGCCUCCGGCGGGAUUGCUGACCCACAACAGGUACAUUCUAGCUCCAGAUCUCUCCAAGCCCCAGAGACCUGGUGCCACAGUCCCAACAUGCCCUCCAGGUCUCCACAGGAUCAUUACGUCACCGAUGAAUCUACCUUCUUAACUUGCUUUCACUGAUAGUUUC